AAAUAGAUACCCGGGUAGUCCACGCCGUAAACGAUGAGUGCUAAGUGUUAGAGGGUUUCCGCCCUUUAGUGCUGCAGCUAACGCAUUAAGCACUCCGCCUGGGGAGUACGGUCGCAAGACUGAAACUCAAAGGAAUUGACGGGGGCCCGCACAAGCGGUGGAGCAUGUGGUUUAAUUCGAAGCAACGCGAAGAACCUUACCAGGUCUUGACAUCCUCUGACAACUCUAGAGAUAGAGCGUUCCCCUUCGGGGGACAGAGUGACAGGUGGUGCAUGGUUGUCGUCAGCUCGUGUCGUGAGAUGUUGGGUUAAGUCCCGCAACGAGCGCAACCCUUGAUCUUAGUUGCCAGCAUUUAGUUGGGCACUCUAAGGUGACUGCCGGUGACAAACCGGAGGAAGGUGGGGAUGACGUCAAAUCAUCAUGCCCCUUAUGACCUGGGCUACACACGUGCUACAAUGGAUGGUACAAAGGGCUGCAAGACCGCGAGGUCAAGCCAAUCCCAAUAAAACCAUUCUCAGUUCGGA
This 524-nucleotide ribosomal RNA is filed under the name uncultured bacterium. Its description in RNAcentral is "bacterial SSU rRNA". It matches the Rfam family "Bacterial small subunit ribosomal RNA", at positions 776 to 1297 of the family's 1533-position model. The record is from RNAcentral.